AUCUGCUGCUCCCUAGCAGCAAGGUAUUUCUCUCUUUCUUCUCUUCGUUCCUUUGCUAGCCUUUGUCUUUCAUCAGUUUUGAGAAAUCCAUCAAUGGCUGCCGCUCGCGGGGAGCCCCGCGCCGCCCCCGGCUCCGCCAUCUUCCUCCGGCCGGCGGCCCCCACCGACUCGGUUCGGCGCUUCGAUCCGCUCCGCGGCGCCCCGCGGCCGCCGCACAGGCGCACUGCCCGUCCCGCGACACCUGACUCCGCGCGGCGGGGAGGAGCGGGACUG
This 273-nucleotide long non-coding RNA is filed under the name Gallus gallus (chicken). Lineage: Eukaryota; Metazoa; Chordata; Aves; Galliformes; Phasianidae. The record is from RNAcentral.